This 121-nucleotide ribosomal RNA is filed under the name Stichococcus bacillaris. The record is from RNAcentral. Lineage: Eukaryota; Viridiplantae; Chlorophyta; Trebouxiophyceae; Prasiolales; Stichococcaceae.
UUCUUAGUGUACUAGUUUACAUGGAACCACUCCAACCCAUCUCGAACUUGGUAGUGAAACAUCCUAAAAAGUGAAAAUACUUAUACCGAGGGGUUAAGGGAAAAUAGCUUUAUGCUAAGAG